GUGCUCAGCUUCCGUGUUCUCUGAGAACACUAUCGUGCCCCAAUCUCUAUGUGUACACCGACCUUGAAGCAUUCCAAUCCUUAUCUUCUGGGUUUCUAUGGAGGCUUUAUUACUUAGGUAUGGUUGAUUAAAUCAUUGGCCAUUGGUGAUUGAUUCAACCUCUUCCCCACCCCCACCUUUAUCCCCUUAGGUUAGGGAGGUGGGCUGAAAGUUCUAACACUCCAAGCACUUGAUUGAUUCCCCUAGCAACCAGCCCUAUCCUUAGGUGCUUUACAAAAGUCAUCUCAUUAUAAACUCACAUGUGGUUGCAAGGGAUCUUUCAUGAAUAUCAAUCAAGAUACUUUUAUAGCUCUUAUCACUUAGGAAACUUCAAGGUAUCUAGAAACUCUGUGCCAGAAACAUGGAUAAAGACCAAAGUCCCUAUUCUAGGUGCUAUGUGGUGAUACAGAAAGGAGCAAGACUUGGCACCUGCUUUAAAGAGGAAGUUGGCAAAACAAAGAGUUGUAUUUAUCUCAAAGCCUUUCUUAGAAUUCAAAGUAAAGGACAGAAGAGGAGCCACAUGUAUUAUGCCCAAGAAAUAAUCUGAUCACUAAGGGAGAAACAAAACAGGUUGGGAAGAGGAAGAGACUCCAGAAUAAAACAGAACAUCAGAAAGAGAUCAUGAGUUGUGACUAUUUAAUUUAUAGUUAAGUGAAAUCCUAUGGCAUUGCAAAGAAU
This 717-nucleotide long non-coding RNA is filed under the name Mustela putorius furo (domestic ferret). Its description in RNAcentral is "lncRNA (ENSMPUG00000025638.1)". The record is from RNAcentral. Lineage: Eukaryota; Metazoa; Chordata; Mammalia; Carnivora; Mustelidae.